RNAcentral lists this ribosomal RNA (459 nucleotides) under uncultured bacterium. RNAcentral describes it as "partial 16S ribosomal RNA". It matches the Rfam family "Bacterial small subunit ribosomal RNA", at positions 338 to 795 of the family's 1533-position model. The record is from RNAcentral.
CCUACGGGAGGCAGCAGUGAGGAAUAUUGGUCAAUGGUCGGGAGACUGAACCAGCCAAGCCGCGUGAGGGAGGAAGGUACAGAGUAUCGUAAACCUCUUUUGUCAGGGAACAAAGGCGGGGACGUGUCCCCGGAUGAGUGUACCUGAAGAAAAAGCAUCGGCUAACUCCGUGCCAGCAGCCGCGGUAGUACGGAGGAUGCGAGCGUUAUCCGGAUUUAUUGGGUUAAAAGGGUGCGCCGGCGGUCUGUUAAGUCAGCGGUCAAAGCCCGGGGCUCAACCCCGGCCCGCCGUUGAAACUGGCAGGCUCGAGUGGGAGAGAAGUAGGCGGAAUGCGCGGUGUAGCGGUGAAAUGCAUAGAUAUCGAGCAGAACUCCGAUUGCGAAGGCAGCAUGCCGGCUCCACACUGACGCUGAGGCACGAAAGCGUGGGUAUCGAACAGGAUUAGAUACCCGGGUAGUC